Anopheles gambiae (African malaria mosquito) is the source of this 580-nucleotide long non-coding RNA. RefSeq lists it as uncharacterized. The record is from RefSeq and is a predicted model, not a curated record. The transcript is spliced from 2 exons. Lineage: Eukaryota; Metazoa; Arthropoda; Insecta; Diptera; Culicidae.
CACACGCUCGCUCGAGUGCGUUCGGUAAAGAGUUCGCGCCCAAAACGGGCUGGCCCGAAACGACAGCCUAGACAAACUGUGUGCGCGGCAAACGUCCGUACACACAUACACCUUAAAAUGAAGUAGCUCAGGUCACGGUACGAGUACGGUGAACCUAAUCCAACAGUUACAAAACGGACCGCACACCGGGUGACGGAACCUUUUUGGCCCGAGCAUCAUGCUUUAUGCUGUUGCCCUAGCCUUACCCGUAUAUUACCGUCCAUUUUUCAUUCGCCAACCUUUCGCUAUGGAGUUUACCGGUGUGACAUCUGAGCCACAUACAGCAUUAGAACUUCCCAAAUGCGCCAGGCUACCCGUGUGCUUCGCGCUAUUACGUAUGCUUCGAUGGUCUAAACCCCGAACAAGGAUAAGCCUGGCGGAUGGAAAACUUUUGCAGCCAACCCUCAAAAUUGCACAAAACUCACCUUCUGCCUCAUCUAUCAUCUAGCGAGGGGGGAAGGCGAGCCGAACGAGCACCGGUACACGAGGAUUUUCAUCUUGUCAAUUUAAUAAAGCACAAACUUUCUCCCAUUCCUACGUA